Long non-coding RNA from Pongo abelii (Sumatran orangutan), 2960 nucleotides. The record is from Ensembl. Lineage: Eukaryota; Metazoa; Chordata; Mammalia; Primates; Hominidae.
UGCUCGGGAGGCGGAGCUCCGAGCGCGACCGGGAGGGCUACGCGGCGGCCGCAGCCAUGGGCUCUGGGCCUGCGGGGGCGCGGUGGGGGUGCGAGGACCUGCGGGGCCGGGCGGGAGAGACGGCUGCCGGGACCCGCCCUAGACACUGAGCCGCGGUGGGAUCCCCGCUGGCUCUGCGAGGCCCUGCGAGCGCCAGGGAGGCGCCUCGACGGAGCGGGGCAGCCCCCGGCCACUUCAGGGGGGCCCGCUUCGCCGCCCGGGCGGUCGAGAGGGCCUUGGGGGCACAUCUCGGGGUGCGGUGACCCGCCUGGCGCAUUUCGGGGGUCGGGGCGCGUUUGCCAGGGGACAUCUGGAGCCCGGCCCUGCUUCUGUCGGGCUCCAGGGUACCCCUGGAUGGCUGCGCUGUGCCCUCGCCGGCCGCCCGGGCGCCGCAGCGGCUGAGUUCGCCGGGAUCGCCGGGCCGCCGCCGCCCUUGCCACCCGCUGCAUGCUCGGCGCCCGGGUCGCGGCCCACCUGGACGCACUGGGCCCCCUGGUCCCCUACGUGCCGCCGCCGCUGCUGCCCUCUAUGUUCUACGUGGGCCUGUUCUUCGUCAAUGUGCUGAUCCUGUACUACGCCUUCCUCAUGGAGUACAUCGUUCUCAACGUGGGCCUCGUCUUCCUGCCCGAGGACAUGGACCAGGCGCUCGUGGACCUCGGCGUGCUCUCCGACCCCGGCUCGGGCCUUUACGAUGCUGACUCGGAGCUCGACGUCUUUGAUGGGUACUUGGAGUAGGGUCUCGACUGCCGUUCCCCUCUUCCCUCCACGAUCCGCAACCCACUCCCUGGACCAGCCGCCCAGAUCAUACCGCCGCAGCUGGUUGGGGGCACCAUCUGGACGGGGAUGGUUCCCCAGGAGGAGACCCUCCCCUGCCUCCGAGGCCUGCCUGCUCCCCUCAAAAGCUUCGUGCCAACAGAGAGGUUCCUGUUUGGACCCAGGAGAGUGGAAGAGAGAUUGGGACUGACUGCUGAGGUUGGGAAGGCACCUGCUCCCAGAGAAGGGGGAACGCAAGGGGCGUCCCAAGACCUCAUCUGCCUGCAGCGUCACACCGAUGGCCUGGCCUUGGCUUCUGAUUAUUUGCAACUGCGAUGGAUGUUUACAGGAACCCAGCCAGAGUUUGCCUCCCUGCACUUCAUCCCGGAGCGCACCUGCUUCCCCCACUUCACCUUCAGAGAGGACACUUCAAACUGCGGACACACACAAAAGCGACUCCCAGCUCCGUUUGAUGUUACUCAUUCUUCAGCAAGUUGGCAAAACAGACAUCAUGCUGGUGAGGAGACUGAGGUGUGGGAGAGUACAGGCGGCAGAACUCUCGCGGGAGACAGUUGUAGCACCACUUGCCCUCAUGUGAUGCUAAAGAAAGAAAAGCUACGAAAUCUGAAAAGAAGACAUUUGAGAGGCCCAAGGAAAAAGGUGAGCGUGAGGAGGGAGACAUUUGCAUGCAGAGAGAGGCCUGAGAGGAAGAGUGACCAUUUGGAAGGUGCGCGGACUUACAGUCCACUGGACGUGGAAUUGCACCAUCAUGCCCUGAUUCCUCCAAGCAGCGCUUUACUACCUGACAAAUGGGGUUCAGGGGCACUUCCAGCACACUGUGCCUUUGCCUGCAGAGAGGUCCUCCAAAGAAGUCAGAAGUCCAUUCCUUUGUAGGAGUGUGACUAUAAGUAUUGCUUAGAUCUGUGACACGGGGUCAGUAAUUUAUCCACAUCUUAUGAUGACUGUGCAUUAACUACAAAAAGGUGCCCCUCUGGGUUAAAAGGCUCCACACCAGGACUCCCAGCUUGGCAAGCAGAACCCAGACUGGUUUGCAGCCCCCAUGUUCCCCCUUGUCCAGGUGCCUUUGUGCAGUGUACAGACUGGCCAACCUCACCUGGCAGCCCUGUCCAGAGUUUUUUUAAUUUGCUAAAAUAUAAGACUCACCAGGGCAGGAACAUCUUAUUCAUGACUGUGCACUCAGUACGUAUUUGUAGAAUGAAUGAAACAGGUGAGGAUUAUUUGUUCAUUUUAUGUUAUUGAGCACCUAUUAUACACAGGCGCCUUGCUGGGUGCAGAGGGCACAACAGUGUACAAAGCAAGAUGUUUCCCGCCCUCCUGGAGCUCAUGUCCUAGGACAAGAGCAGACUGCAUAAAUAAGUGAAAAAGAUAAACUAGUGAUGGGGUUGCAGAGUGGGGCAAGUCCUGAAGGAUGAGAAAUCGGCCAUAUGGAGAGCUGGGAGGAACAUUCCAGCCAGAGGCAAGAAUGAAACACAGAUAUAUGUAAUAAUGACAGCCAAGAUGUUAUUGAGCCUAAUUCUCAACCUAUUAGCUCACCACACCUUCACAUAAUCCUAUAAAAAAGGUGCUGUGGUUAUGCUCAUUUUACAAAUGAGGAGACUGAGGCACAGAGAACUAGCUUGCAUAAGUAAGUGGUAAGGAGGGCGUUGAGCCCAGGCAACAUUGUUCUAGACUCUCUGCCAUUCGCCCCUAGACUCUUAUCCCUCUUGGGUAGGAGUUUAGCACAGUGUCUGGCACACAGUUGUCACUUAUUGAGCUAAUACUUUCUGAGCACUUUGAAUUUCCCUUGCACUGUGAUAAGGGCUUUGCAUGUAUCAGCUCAUUAAAUAAACAGUAGUGGCUGGGUGCGGUGGCUCACACCUGUAAUCCCAGCACUUUGGGAGGCCAAGGCAGGCAGAUUACCUGAGGUCAGGAGUUUGAGAUCAGCCUGGCCAACAUGGUGAAAUUCCAGCUCUACUAAAAAUACAAAAAUUAGCCAGGCGUGGUGGUGCAUGCCUGUAAUCCCAGCUACUUGGAAGGCUGAGGUGGGAGAAUCUCUUGAACCCAGGAGGCAGAGGUUGCAGUGAGCCGAGAUCACGCCACCGCACUCCAGUGUGGGCAACAAGAGUGAAAACUCUGUCUCAAAAAAAUAAAAUAAAAUAAUAAUAAAC